Chiloscyllium plagiosum (whitespotted bambooshark) is the source of this 1102-nucleotide non-coding RNA. The record is from RefSeq and is a predicted model, not a curated record. Lineage: Eukaryota; Metazoa; Chordata; Chondrichthyes; Orectolobiformes; Hemiscylliidae.
AGGCGCAAGGAUUGGUGGGUUCUGUAGUUUAUAGAAAUCUGCUCCCUCAUCAAACCCACGUACAAAUUCCACGUUAGCGCCGUAGUUCUUGAGGGAAGAAAGUUGGAAAAUUGAAUUACCUCCCAGAGCGUACGCUAGGGAGAUGGGUCGACUUGAUGGAAAAGUGAUUGUACUCUCUGCAGCAGCACAAGGCAUUGGGCGAGCAUGUGCAAUUGCAUUUGGAAAGGAAGGUGCCAGGGUUAUUGCUACUGAUAUAAAUGAAGAGAAACUAAAGGAAUUGGAGCAAUAUUCUGAUUGAGACAUUAUAGUCUGUGCUGAAUCAUUUACCAUCCCAUGAUACUUGAGCUGAACAGUCACUGAGAUUCUUGAAAGAAAUUACAGUCCUUAUUAGCAAACAAUCCACGUUCGUUCCAGCCUCCAAAUGGUUUAUGCCCCGUUAUUCUAAGUGGUAACCUGAAGUGACUGCUGUUGGAUGCUCCUGUUAGUUUCCAGACAGGUUGCCAAAUCCUCGAGAUUCCAGGAUGGAUCUCCUGGAAUCCUGAGAUUUCUGCAAGAUGUGUCUCUUCAAUUCAAGACUGCUGGACUGAGUCUGCCUUAGGCAGUGUGAGGGAAUCAACAAAGGGACACAUCCUACUUGGCCUCAUCCUCCCCAGUCUUCUUGUAGGUGCAUGUGUCUGGGACAAUACUGACUAUCUUAUAGUGUUCGUGGAGGCAAAAUCCCAGCUUCAGCCGUGGUUACUCUUUGUUGUGUUCUGUGGCACUGUUACAACUCUGUAUGAGACUGAACUCAUGAAGAUAAAACAUCAGAAGGUUGGGAAUCUACGGAGUGCUUUGGGCCCUCAUCAGCAGCAGAUUUGUACUCAACACAUUCCAUAACUUCAUGACUUGGCGCAUCCCCCAUUCUACCAUUACAUUCCAACCAGGGAACAACCUUGUUUCAAUGACAAAUACAGGACAGCAUGCUGGGAACAACAUCAGACACACACAAAAAUGAGAUGUCAAACUGUUGGAACUACAAGCAAAACUACUUGCAUGCAAAGUUAAAAAUCACACAACACCAGGUUAUAGUCCAACAGGUUUAAUUGGAAGUACACUAGCUUUC